This is a non-coding RNA of Myotis brandtii (Brandt's bat), 368 nucleotides long. Lineage: Eukaryota; Metazoa; Chordata; Mammalia; Chiroptera; Vespertilionidae. The record is from the annotation of a RefSeq genome assembly.
GAAGUGCUCACAGCACAGCCCUCACCAUGGACUGGAGCUGGAGAACCCUUCUCCUGGUGGCCAUGGCUACAGGUGUCCACUCCCAGGUGCAGCUGGUGCAGUCUGGGGCUGAGGUGAGGAAACCUGGGGCCUCCGUGAAGGUCUCCUGCAAGGCUUCUGGGUACACCUUCACCAGCUACUGGAUGCAAUGGGUGAGACAGACCCCAGGACAGGGGCUUGAGUGGGUGGGGAGUGUUAACCCUAACAAUGGAAACACAAAUUACGUACAGAAGUUCCAAGGCAGAGUCUCCAUAACCAGAGACACGUCCAUCAACACAGCCUACAUGGAGCUCAGCAGACUGAGAGCAGAGGACACAGCCAUGUAUUAA